Molecule: ribosomal RNA, 253 nt
Filed under: uncultured bacterium
Lineage: Bacteria
Description: partial 16S ribosomal RNA
Rfam family: Bacterial small subunit ribosomal RNA
Source: RNAcentral
UACGGAGGGAGCUAGCGUUGUUCGGAAUUACUGGGCGUAAAGCGCACGUAGGCGGCUUUGUAAGUUAGAGGUGAAAGCCCGGGGCUCAACCCCGGAAUUGCCUUUAAGACUGCAUCGCUUGAAUCCGGGAGAGGUGAGUGGAAUUCCGAGUGUAGAGGUGAAAUUCGUAGAUAUUCGGAAGAACACCAGUGGCGAAGGCGGCUCACUGGACCGGUAUUGACGCUGAGGUGCGAAAGCGUGGGAAGCAAACAGG